GAUUCCCCCAGUAGCGGCGAGCGAACGGGGAGCAGCCCAGAGCCUGAAUCAGUAUGUGUGUUAGUGGAAGCGUCUGGAAAGGCGCGCGAUACAGGGUGACAGCCCCGUACACAAAAAUGCACAUGCUGUGAGCUCGAUGAGUAGGGCGGGACACGUGGUAUCCUGUCUGAAUAUGGGGGGACCAUCCUCCAAGGCUAAAUACUCCUGACUGACCGAUAGUGAACCAGUACCGUGAGGGAAAGGCGAAAAGAACCCCGGCGAGGGGAGUGAAAAAGAACCUGAAACCGUGUACGUACAAGCAGUGGGAGCACGCUUAGGCGUGUGACUGCGUACCUUUUGUAUAAUGGGUCAGCGACUUAUAUUCUGUAGCAAGGUUAACCGAAUAGGGGAGCCGAAGGGAAACCGAGUCUUAACUGGGCGUUAAGUUGCAGGGUAUAGACCCGAAACCCGGUGAUCUAGCCAUGGGCAGGUUGAAGGUUGGGUAACACUAACUGGAGGACCGAACCGACUAAUGUUGAAAAAUUAGCGGAUGACUUGUGGCUGGGGGUGAAAGGCCAAUCAAACCGGGAGAUAGCUGGUUCUCCCCGAAAGCUAUUUAGGUAGCGCCUCGUGAAUUCAUCUCCGGGGGUAGAGCACUGUUUCGGCAAGGGGGUCAUCCCGACUUACCAACCCGAUGCAAACUGCGAAUACCGGAGAAUGUUAUCACGGGAGACACACGGCGGGUGCUAACGUCCGUCGUGAAGAGGGAAACAACCCAGACCGCCAGCUAAGGUCCCAAAGUCAUGGUUAAGUGGGAAACGAUGUGGGAAGGCCCAGACAGCCAGGAUGUUGGCUUAGAAGCAGCCAUCAUUUAAAGAAAGCGUAAUAGCUCACUGGUCGAGUCGGCCUGCGCGGAAGAUGUAACGGGGCUAAACCAUGCACCGAAGCUGCGGCAGCGACGCUGAUGCGUUGUUGGGUAGGGGAGCGUUCUGUAAGCCUG
This 979-nucleotide ribosomal RNA is filed under the name Escherichia coli. Its description in RNAcentral is "partial 23S ribosomal RNA". It matches the Rfam family "Bacterial large subunit ribosomal RNA", at positions 233 to 1251 of the family's 2925-position model. The record is from RNAcentral. Lineage: Bacteria; Pseudomonadati; Pseudomonadota; Gammaproteobacteria; Enterobacterales; Enterobacteriaceae.